Molecule: ribosomal RNA, 252 nt
Filed under: uncultured bacterium
Lineage: Bacteria
Description: partial 16S ribosomal RNA
Rfam family: Bacterial small subunit ribosomal RNA
Source: RNAcentral
UACGUAGGGUGCAAGCGUUGUCCGGAAUUAUUGGGCGUAAAGAGCUCGUAGGCGGUCUGUCGCGUCGGCUGUGAAAACCCGGGGCUCAACCCCGGGCCUGCAGUCGAUACGGGCAGACUAGAGUGCGGUAGGGGAGACUGGAAUUCCUGGUGUAGCGGUGAAAUGCGCGAUAUCAGGAGGAACACCGGUGGCGAAGGCGGGUCUCUGGGCCGUAACUGACGCUGAGGAGCGAAAGCGUGGGGAGCGAACAGG